Molecule: transfer RNA, 103 nt
Organism: Pseudomassariella vexata
Lineage: Eukaryota; Fungi; Ascomycota; Sordariomycetes; Amphisphaeriales; Pseudomassariaceae
Rfam family: tRNA
About the family: Transfer RNA (tRNA) molecules are approximately 80 nucleotides in length. Their secondary structure includes four short double-helical elements and three loops (D, anti-codon, and T loops).
Source: Rfam
GCUCCUGUGACGCAGUGGUUAGCGUGCCAGUCUUAUACAGUUAGGCAACUAAUUCGUAUGGUUAGAUAUCUGGACGUCGCGAGUUCAAUCCUCGCCAGGAACA